GACGAACGCUGGCGGCGUGCUUAACACAUGCAAGUCGAACGGAAAGGCCCUGCUUUUGUGGGGUGCUCGAGUGGCGAACGGGUGCGUAACACGUGAGUAACCUGCCCUUGACUUUGGGAUAACUUCAGGAAACUGGGGCUAAUACCGGAUAGGAGCUCCUGCUGCAUGGUGGGGGUUGGAAAGUUUCGGCGGUUGGGGAUGGACUCGCGGCUUAUCUGCUUGUUGGUGGGGUAGUGGCUUACCAAGGCUUUGACGGGUAGCCGGCCUGUGAGGGUGACCGGCCACAUUGGGACUGAGAUACGGACCAGACUCCUACGGGAGGCAGCAGGGGGGAAUAUGGCACAAUGGGCGGAAGCCUGAUGCAGCAACGCCGCGUGCGGGAUGACGGCCUGCGGGUUGUAAACCGCUUUCGCCUGUGACGAAGCGUGAGUGACGGUAAUGGGUAAAGAAGCACCGGCUAACUACGUG
Molecule: ribosomal RNA, 468 nt
Filed under: uncultured bacterium
Lineage: Bacteria
Description: partial 16S ribosomal RNA
Rfam family: Bacterial small subunit ribosomal RNA
Source: RNAcentral